UGUUUUUUGUCUAUAUAAAAAAUAUAACCUGCCCAAUGAAAUUUUUAAUGGCCACAGUAUCUUAACUGUGCAAAGGUAGCAUAAUCAUUUGCUUUAUAAAUUAAAGCUUGUAUGAAUGGUAAAAUGAAUUAAACCUGUCUCUUAUUUAUAAAUUUAAUUUGUCUUUUCAGUGAAGAGACUGAAAAAUUUUUAAAAGACGAGAAGACCCUAUGAGUUUAAUAUAUAAAAUAUAAUUUUAUAUAAAUAUAUUUAAUUGGGGAAAUUAAAGAAAAAAUCUUCUUUUUUAAUAAAUAAGCUAUAAUUUUAGUCCCACUCAUAAUGAUUUCAAAUUAAAAUUACCAUAGGGAUAACAGCAUAAUCUUUUUUAAGAGUACAUAUCGACAAAAUGGGUUGUGACCUCGAUGUUGGAUUAAGAUAAUUAUUAAGUGUAGAAGCUUAAUUAAUAAGUCUGUUCGACUUUUAAUCUCUUACA
Molecule: ribosomal RNA, 472 nt
Filed under: Opisthopatus roseus (pink velvet worm)
Lineage: Eukaryota; Metazoa; Onychophora; Udeonychophora; Euonychophora; Peripatopsidae
Description: partial 16S ribosomal RNA
Rfam family: Bacterial large subunit ribosomal RNA
Source: RNAcentral